RNAcentral lists this non-coding RNA (774 nucleotides) under Atrijuglans hetaohei. The record is from RNAcentral. Lineage: Eukaryota; Metazoa; Arthropoda; Insecta; Lepidoptera; Stathmopodidae.
AAAAUUUUUUAUGGUUUAAAAAAUUUAUUAUAAAUUUAUUUUACAUAUAAAUUUUAGUGUAUAUUUUUAGUUAUUUUAAAAAUAAUUAAAUUGUUAGUUAUAGUAAUUAAUUUUAAAAAUUUAAGAAAUUAAGAUUUAGUAAUAUUUAAAUUAAUAACAAAUUUUGUGCCAGCAGUUGCGGUUAAACAAAAAUUAAAUUAAAUUUUUUUAGUAAUUAAUAAAUAUAAAUAUAAUUAAAUUUAAAUUAAAAAUUAUUAAGUGAAAUUUUAAUUUUUAAAAAAAAAUAAUAUUAAUAUGAAUUAAUAAAUUAAAAAAUAAACUAGGAUUAGAUACCCUAUUAUUGAAAUUUAAAUAAAUAAUACUAAAAUAGUAUUUAUUAAUAUAUUGAAACUUAAAUAAUUUGGCGGUAUUUUAGUUCAUUUAGAGGAAUCUGUUAGGUAAUUGAUAAUCCACGAAUAAAUUUACUUAAUUUUUAAUUUUGUAUAUCGUUGUUAAAAAAAUAUUUUUAAAUAAUAAUAAUAUUUAAUAUUUAAAAUAAUAAAAUAAAUCAGAUCAAGAUGCAGAUUAUAAUUAAGAAUAUAAUGGAUUACAAUAAAUUUAUUUAUAUAGAUAUUAAAAUGAAAAAUUUAAUUGAAAGUGGAUUUAAAUGUAAUUUUUUUAAAUUUUUAAAAAUGAUUGAAAUUUAAAAUAUGUACACAUCGCCCGUCGCUUUCAUAUAUAAAUUGAAAUAAGUCGUAACAAAGUAGAAGUACUGGAAAGUGUUUCUAGAAAGAA